CUCUCCAAAAAUAUAUAUUAAUUAAUAAUUGAUUUUUUAUUUUCUGUCUUCUCCAAACAAAAAAAAAAAAACAUUCAAAAGGACGCGCGUUGAAUUGAAGGAACUCAAACUCAACUCUGUUUGCAUUACAAUUCUCUCUCAGAUAGAUACUUCCCAUGGCGCCGCACGAUCUCCGCCGUCCAUUCAAACGUCCCUUAAUCUCCGAUCAAGAGCGACGCAGACAACAAUCUCUACUCCGUCAAGCACAGAAUCGCCUCGACGCUCAACACCAUGCUCGCUUCUUAGUUUCCACCGCAUUCUCUCUCUCUUCUUCCCAAACUCCCGAACCUGAAACCGAACCUAUCCACGAACCCGAAUCACAUCAGAAUGACGAACUCGAUGUUCUAGAAGCUUCGAAGCUGAAAGGCGCAGAAGCUCGAAAAUGGUUCGCCAAACAACUCAUGCAUCCUGAAUGGAUGAUCGAUAUCCCUGAAAAUCUCACCAAUGAUUGGUUUGUUCUUGCAAGGCCUUCUGGAAAAAGGUGUUUUGUGGUUUCCAGUAACGGAACAACGAUAAGCCGUUUGAGAAACGGUUCAAUUCUUCAUCGUUUUCCUUCUAAAUUGCCAAACGGAGCAAGAACAAAGGAUGUUAACUCCGGUUCUUCAAAUUCUUACUCUAUACUUGACUGCAUUUUCCAUGAACAGGAUCAAACUUACUAUGUUAUUGAUAUGGUUUGUUGGCGUGGCUACUCCCUCUACGAUUGUACUUCUGAGUUCAGGUUCUUUUGGGUGAACUCUAAGCUUGCUGAGACCGGUGCCUUUGACCCUCCUUCAUAUUAUCAUAAGUAUAGCUUCAGUUUAGUUCCGGUGUACGGUUGUGAUCAGAGUGGUUUGUGUUCAGCUUAUUCAGCACCUGUGCCUUAUGUCAAAGACGGUCUUCUGUUCUAUAACAAGCAUGCACAUUACCAGGCUGGGAUUACGCCAUUAGCAUUAGUUUGGAAGGAUGAGAACUGCAGCCAAUAUGUUAUGGACACAGACAGUAAAGGACAGGUUCCAAACCAACAACAGGUGGUUUUGGAGCUUCAAGAAGAUGGAAAACUGACUACAUGCGAUGAUCCUCCUGUGGUAUUUGGCUGUUUAGAUGGAAGCUUCAUCCAGCAGUCAGAUUUGCAUUCAGGGUAUCUUCUACGGUUUGCAAUUGGAGAAGAAGGGUUGGUUUUGGUGGGUGGGAAACUUGAGAAAGCUGAUCUACAAUAUCUUGGCAAGGCCAAUCGAGCUCGUGCCUCUGCUGAUAGUUUCUCUAAGGUUAUGUUCCAAUAUAGUGUUCGACACUCCCCCCUCAAACUUGAUGAUCUGUUGGGGUCUGUCAGCUCACCAGUAGAUCAAGAAAGUAAAGCAUGCGACAUUGAGAUGGAUGGUUGAUAGGAAAUGCUCUACGGAUUGCACAUGUCAGUUUUUAUCCUGAAUGCAACGUUUUGAAGUUUUCGCGUUAAUUUCUGGUUUUCUGUGAUGCUUAUUCCACGAGCCAUCCAUAUUUUAUGUUGAAGAUUCACAAAAUUGCUAGCUACCAGUCAACCACACAUGCUGAGCUAGAGUUGUAACGAUCAUACUCAAUUCAAUUUGUGGUUUGCCUCCAGAGUUUCUUUAACCCAUAUGAGAGCAGGUGCACCCAUCAGGGUAAUAGUACAUGGUUUCUGCAGGUACUCCACAUUCUCCACCAGAAUCUGGAGUGUCAUAGAAGGAUCCUGAGUUUGGCCAAGAGCGUUCGUGAUUUCCACCGCAGUAUGAAUAAAUGUGAUAUCCUUUCAGUUUAAAAGAAUAUGUAAAACUCAAUUCAAAUUUCUAUGGCCUAAAAUGAUUGCAAGCAAGCGAACCUUGCUAUCAUAUAUGGAACUGUUGAUGAAAUUUGUUGAACUUGAGCUGUGAAUUGAUCCCACUGUGAGAUGUAUCGAUUUGCAUAAGGCAUAUCUCCUAUGUGGAAAACAAUGUCAAAGUUGUCUAAAUCCUUGAUGAGCUGGUCGGUGGUGUUAAGUGAACCAGGUUGAUAAUUAGCAUAUUCAUUUGAACCAUCACGCUCAGCCUAAAGAACACGCAAAGCAAAGUAAGCCUUCUUCCCAUUGUACUAUUCAUGCUUAAAAUUAGAGUUUCUUAUUCAAAAGUUAGAAAAGUCUCAUUCUUUCAAAUAUUAUAAACCUUAAAUAACCAAUGCUACCUUUCCCAUGUCACCAAAUAUUAUAACGCGUUGCAACGAGUUUUGUCCAGGAUAUGGAGAUGCCUUGAAUGAAUACCUCUUACUCCAUACAUAAGAACCGUCAGACAUGAAAUGCCCUAACCUGUAGGUGUACCUGGGGAAAGAACAAGGAAGAUUGCUAAGCUUUGUGAACUUUUGUCGAACUGGAAAGUUAAGCGAAAAAACUUGCGUCAUGAAAAUGACUGAAUGCAUACCUCAUAUUUGGC
Medicago truncatula (barrel medic) is the source of this 2435-nucleotide RNA transcript. It is a transcript of the gene named snurportin-1, with no coding region annotated. Lineage: Eukaryota; Viridiplantae; Streptophyta; Magnoliopsida; Fabales; Fabaceae. The record is from RefSeq and is a predicted model, not a curated record. The transcript is spliced from 8 exons.